This 88-nucleotide microRNA precursor is filed under the name Chlorocebus sabaeus (green monkey). RNAcentral's name for it is "miRNA (ENSCSAG00000022163.1)". The record is from RNAcentral. Lineage: Eukaryota; Metazoa; Chordata; Mammalia; Primates; Cercopithecidae.
CAUAUAUUGCAUUGUCGCAAAAGUAAUUGUGAUUUUUGCCGUUACUUUCAGUGGCAAAAAGAGCAAUUACUUUUGCACCAACCUCAUA